UGUGGAUGUAUUUUUGACAGGAAGAUUUUGUUUUUAAAAUGAAUUAUUCUUAUUUGCGAUAUUUAUAUAAUUUGUUAAAUUGAUAUAAAUACCAAUUUAAGUUUUGAGAGAUAUCUUAUGAUCUUAAGUUAUCUCAUUAUAUAUAAUGAAAGUUGAUUGGAUAUGUCUAAGUCAAGAUGAUCUGAGACCAAUUAAGCAUCUCUGUCGAACUGGCUAUUGUUGCCCUCUUUGUCCAGAAGAUGUUGUUAAACCUGGAAAACCUGCCCGUAUUAAAAUGCAUCUAAUGACAGUACAUUGGAAAAGUAGAGUAGAAUUUCAGGGUAACUUUUUAAAAUUUCAUUAUAUAAAUCUUAUGCAUUACUUUAUACAGGUAUUAUUACUCCA
Molecule: long non-coding RNA, 384 nt
Filed under: Androctonus crassicauda
Lineage: Eukaryota; Metazoa; Arthropoda; Arachnida; Scorpiones; Buthidae
Source: RNAcentral